GGAAAGCACAAGCAGGUAAACGAAAGGCAAAGUUUGAUUUCUUAUCCAUUCUCUUCAGUUACAGGCACGCCAAUGGUUAAUAGCAUUAUCAAAACUAUUGAAGGAGACAGAAUAAUGGAAAUCAAUAAAUAUAAACACCAGGAACAUGUAAAGCCAGACACAUACUAAACUUAACAAACAAGACAAGAUAGCAUCCCCCGUGACUACAUAAGAAUAAAAGGCACCCAGGCAGUGAAAAAAACUCCUCCCGGCCCUUCGUAUAUGAGAGUGCAUAUGGAGAAAUACUUUCAGGUAUUAAGACAGACAUUUUAACCAAACUAAUUCUAGCAUGAAUAUCAUCCAAAACAACUUACCUAAUCGCCAUGGCCACAACAGAUUUUUCCCUCCCAAAACAAGAUCUGCUAAGCUAGCCAAUCUUUUUUUGUAGGAUCAGAAGCCCCUAGCUGAACAAGUUUUUGAAGACCUAUUCUAGAGAGCAACAGGACAUUUGCCUCAACAAGAACCUUCAUUAGGCUUGGAACAUAGAAAAAGAGCAAAAAAGCUUUUCUAAAAUACUCAAAACUUGUCAUGAGCUCUGUUCCAAUCUUACUUGACUCCAAACUUGAUAAGCUAUAAUGCAGUAUGAUCACAAAAAGAAAUCAUGAUUAUGGUGCAAAAAAAGUUGAAAUAUGAUGAUGAAAAUUAUGAGAACACCAUCACAUCCCAUGCAAGAAAACAACAAAAAUAAUGUAUGUUAAUUUCUUUUUUAUUAUUUUUUUUUCCUUUGAUGACCAAGAAAAGUAGGUUUUGACAUCUAACAGCACAAACUUGACAUCAAGGGAGAAUCUUGCGUCUGCGACGGGGAGUCUCUCGCCUCACAUACAUCUUCUCCGUCUCAUUCAGUGGUCUGCUUGAUCCAUCUGGCAAGCUUAUAAACUUCCAGCCACCACCACCUCCACGCUUCCCUCGUGGUCCCAUUUUCUCCACCAUGAAGUUCCAACCCUCAGAAGGACGCCGCCUACUAUAUUUGUGGCAUUUCACCUGCCCGGCCAUCUGUCCAAAUGGAAAACAAAAGAUGCAUAUAUGAAACUAAACGAAAAUUCAAAUUGAAUUUGACUGUAAAAUAGAUUUUCACAAAAAAAGCACAUGUAACAAGAUUCUGCUCCCCUUCACUUUGGCAUUGUAGAAACAUUCCCUGUUGAAACAUGCAAGUUUAGCUGCCUCGUGAUGUCUAUGGGAAAGCGAGCUUAAGCAAAACUUAGUGCUUGAGCUGAGAGAGUGUGUGGGGUUGGAUGAUAAUUACUCUCUCAUCUCAUGUUGAUUUUCAUCCUUUUUCCAGGUUAAAUGCAGGGAGCAUAUGUUACUCACUUUCAUUUUGUUGAAGUUCAUCUUCUGGACAAAUUCUUGAUAGAGCAUCUCAUCCUCUUUCAUGGAUAUCUCAUAGUGGACUUCAUCCAGGUCUUUGAUGGUACCAUCCCAACCCUCUGGCAUUACCUUGAAAUCAGGCUUAUAAGGAAGGGAGGCCACAUGAAAUUCUCGGUCAUGAGAAUUAAAAAAUUCUGGGCAAGUGUCAAGCAAAAGCUCCACAGAGCCAUCCAAGGGAUGGCCAAGUUUUUUCUCCUCUUCCUCCUCAAGUUGCUUCAGCCAAAGAAUGGCAUGCACCCGCUGUCUCAUAAUCCUAUAGUCCUUGGCAAGCCUCUCAACCGUGUAGACUUCAGGAUUCUCCUUGUGCAAGCGGUACAUCUCAGCCUUCUCCGAGUCCUUCAGGUAAGAUCCUCUUGCACCAGGCUCCCUUACUUGCUUCAAGAGCACACUUAUCUCACGCAACCUCUCACCCCAACCAUCCACAAAAGCCUUGCCCUUUCUGUUCUCUGCCUGCAAUUCUUCAAUCUUAUCAUCAAUCUCUUGCAUACUAGAGACCAAAGCAGUCUGAGAAGCAUCUAAUCCACCAGCGACAGUAGAGCUAAAAUCAGUCCUCUGACCCUCAAAGUCUCCAUCAAAAUGAUCCUUAGUCAAUCCAGUCGACCAUGAUGAAAUAGAUUCCCAACCUAGAUCAUCAGAACCACUCCCACCAAAAGAUCCACCCACCCCACUAUCCCAACCACCUUCCCCUUCGUUUCCAUCACCACCCCCAGACUUAGCUGAAAACACUUGUGCUCUAACUUGAAAAGGUGUUGAAACCCUUGUAACAUUUCCAAAAGUGGAUCUACUUGUGCCAAUGCCUAGUGCCCCAGAGGAGAAACGUGAUAGAACCCGAUGAAUAUUUUGCAUAUUUGCAACACUUAAUCCCAAAGAAGCAAAUCAAAACUCUUUGACUAUCUUUGCACAUUCAAUGAGUUUCCUCGAACUUUGGGGAUCAAGAAUGUUUGUUUUCUUCCAAAUACUGCAAGCAGAAAGAAUGAACAGGAGACUAUCUAACCAGUGAAAGAUUUGGUGGCUUU
RNAcentral lists this unclassified non-coding RNA (2420 nucleotides) under Hevea brasiliensis (rubber tree). The record is from RNAcentral. Lineage: Eukaryota; Viridiplantae; Streptophyta; Magnoliopsida; Malpighiales; Euphorbiaceae.